UUUUCUAGGAAUUUUUCCAUUUCAUCAACAUUGUCCAGCUUGUUGGCAUAUAGCUGUUCAUAUGUAUUUUCUUACAAUCCUUUGUAUGUCUGUGG
This is a long non-coding RNA of Myotis davidii, 95 nucleotides long. RefSeq lists it as uncharacterized. NCBI's taxonomy places the organism in Eukaryota, Metazoa, Chordata, Mammalia, Chiroptera, Vespertilionidae. The transcript is spliced from 3 exons. The record is from RefSeq and is a predicted model, not a curated record.